CCCCCCACCCCUGGGCACAUUGAGAAGGCAGCCGCUGCAACCCAGGAAGUGGGCUCUCGCCAGGAACCAACCUUGCCAGCACCUUGAUCUUGGACUUACAGUUUCCAGAAGAAACCUCAAGCCAAGAAAUGAAUGUCCCUGGUUUGGUGGCUGCCAAGAAACAUGACAGAAGCAAACUCAUAACAUCUCUGAAAGGAAGCACCUCAAUCCAGGCCCCAGAGAGUUCCUAGAAUAAAGUCCCACCAAAUAUGAGUCCACAAUCCAAAAUUACAAAAUAGGUGAUCCAUGAGCUCCACAGGCAAGAGACCGCAGAAAUGACAAACAGCAGAGGCCAUCUCUCCCAAACUGCAGAUCUUGGAACUACUGGAUCCAGAAUAUAAGGUCCAGUGGCUCAUACCUGUAAUCCCAACACUCUGAG
RNAcentral lists this long non-coding RNA (418 nucleotides) under Homo sapiens (human). RNAcentral describes it as "HSALNT0353484". The record is from RNAcentral. Lineage: Eukaryota; Metazoa; Chordata; Mammalia; Primates; Hominidae.